AGAGUUUGAUCCUGGCUCAGGAUGAACGCUAGCGGCAGGCUUAACACAUGCAAGUCGAGGGGUAACGGGGAAGCUUGCUUCCGCCGACGACCGGCGCACGGGUGCGUAACGCGUAUACAAUCUACCUUGUACUGGGGUAUAGCCUUUAGAAAUGAAGAUUAACCCCCCAUAGUCUCUUAGAGUGGCAUCACUUCUAGAGUAAAGGUUACGGUAUAAGAUGAGUAUGCGUUCUAUUAGUUUGUUGGUGUGGUAACGGCACACCAAGACUACGAUAGAUAGGGGCCCUGAGAGGGGGAUCCCCCACACUGGUACUGAGACACGGACCAGACUCCUACGGGAGGCAGCAGUGAGGAAUAUUGGACAAUGGAGGCAACUCUGAUCCAGCCAUGCCGCGUGCAGGAAGACUGCCCUAUGGGUUGUAAACUGCUUUUAUACAGGAAGAAACACCUCUACGUGUAGAGGCUUGACGGUACUGUAGGAAUAAGGAUCGGCUAACUCCGUGCCAGCAGCCGCGGUAAUACGGAGGAUCCAAGCGUUAUCCGGAAUCAUUGGGUUUAAAGGGUCCGUAGGUGGAUAAUUAAGUCAGAGGUGAAAUCUUGCAGCUCAACUGUAAAAUUGCCUUUGAAACUGGUUAUCUUGAGUUAUUAUGAAGUAGUUAGAAUAUGUAGUGUAGCGGUGAAAUGCAUAGAUAUUACAUAGAAUACCAAUUGCGAAGGCAGAUUACUAAUAAUCAACUGACACUGAUGGACGAAAGCGUGGGUAGCGAACAGGAUUAGAUACCCUGGUAGUCCACGCCGUAAACGAUGGUUACUAGCUGUUUGGACUUCGGUCUGAGUGGCUAAGCGAAAGUGAUAAGUAACCCACCUGGGGAGUACGUUCGCAAGAAUGAAACUCAAAGGAAUUGACGGGGGCCCGCACAAGCGGUGGAGCAUGUGGUUUAAUUCGAUGAUACGCGAGGAACCUUACCAGGGCUUAAAUGUAAGUUGCAUUAGUUAGAGAUAGCUAUUUCUUCGGACCACUUACAAGGUGCUGCAUGGUUGUCGUCAGCUCGUGCCGUGAGGUGUCAGGUUAAGUCCUAUAACGAGCGCAACCCCUGUUGUUAGUUGCCAGCGAGUCAUGUCGGGAACUCUAGCAAGACUGCCAGUGCAAACUGUGAGGAAGGUGGGGAUGACGUCAAAUCAUCACGGCCCUUACGUCCUGGGCUACACACGUGCUACAAUGGUAGGUACAGAGAGCAGCCACUGCGCGAGCAGGAGCAAAUCUAUAAAACCUAUCACAGUUCGGAUCGGAGUCUGCAACUCGACUCCGUGAAGCUGGAAUCGCUAGUAAUCGGAUAUCAGCCAUGAUCCGGUGAAUACGUUCCCGGGCCUUGUACACACCGCCCGUCAAGCCAUGGAAGUUGGAAGUGCCUGAAGUCCGUCACCGUAAGGAGCGGCCUAGGGUAAAGUCGAUAACUAGGGCUAAGUCGUAACAAGGUA
This 1478-nucleotide ribosomal RNA is filed under the name uncultured Flavobacteriia bacterium. RNAcentral describes it as "16S ribosomal RNA". It matches the Rfam family "Bacterial small subunit ribosomal RNA". The record is from RNAcentral. Lineage: Bacteria; Pseudomonadati; Bacteroidota; Flavobacteriia.